UACGAAGGGGUCUAGCGUUGUUCGGAUUUACUGGGCGUAAAGCGCACGUAGGCGGAUCUUUAAGUCCGGGGUGAAAUGCCGGAGCUCAACUUCGGAACUGCCUUUGAUACUGGAGAUCUUGAGUUCGAGAGAGGUGAGUGGAACUGCGAGUGUAGAGGUGAAAUUCGUAGAUAUUCGCAAGAACACCCGUGGCGAAGGCGGCUCACUGACUCGAUACUGACGCUGAGGUGCGAAAGCGUGGGGAGCAAACAGG
This 253-nucleotide ribosomal RNA is filed under the name uncultured bacterium. Its description in RNAcentral is "partial 16S ribosomal RNA". It matches the Rfam family "Bacterial small subunit ribosomal RNA", at positions 524 to 776 of the family's 1533-position model. The record is from RNAcentral.